CCUUCUCACUCCCUCUCCUUCUCAAAGUUAUUGUAUCAAAGAGUAGCAAGAGGAGGCCGCCAUUUAGGGCAGGAGCAGAGAUUUGUUGCUCUGCUUCCGCUGAUCGAUCAUUGUUGUGCUCAAAAACAAGAGAAAUGGAGAAUCCUCCCAUAAGGACGUCCAUCCAACCGGUUAGAGAAGAUGUCCAGAAACAUUUUUUCUUUUAUUUUCUUAUUAAUCUAUCGUCGCACCCAAAAACUAACCCUAAGAAAUCAAGUUAAGUUGGAUCUCAUCACUAUGCCAUCUGUAAAAGAGACAACUGUUUAUACAGAAGGAGAAGAAAUCCGGGUAAUUAACAAUUUCCAGAUUUGCGGUGCAGGAGCCUGUCGUAACUACAUCUUGCCUCAUCCAUCGCAGAUGUUGGUUUAAUUUAUGUUUAGCUUUUACCUCUAUUAGAAACCCUAAAUUUUACAAAAGUAAAUAUUCCAUCAAUUUCCUAAAAAUUUACUCUAACUGCCCGAUAGUUCAUUCUAUUCAACUUAGAUUUAAAUUGUUUGUUGAGUAAUUGACGAUAAUGUAGUUCUUUCACACCCUUUACACCUUGACCGUAGAUUCUAUUUUGUCUAGUUCAUCUAUACUCUAUUUGGAAAUUGAAGACUGAUUUUAUGUGUUUGAACUAGUUGAGUCUGUUGUAGAAUUUGGGGAUUUAUUCACAAGGAACAUCAAAUAUGCAUAUUCAUUCUUUUGACUAUCAACACACAAAUUUAACUCUGGGAAAUCUGAAUAGUUGCAGAUAGUAUUUAACCUGUAAUAUUUAUGAGCAUCAAUAUGUUCCCUGAUUUUCACUUGGAUGAAGUUUAUUUUUCAUAUGCUUGAAGAUGAUUGAACGACACAUCUUAUCAAUUCUUUGCAACUAAUUGACUCUUACUAUAUUUAUUUGGUUGCUACCUUACUUGAAUGUCAGGCCUCUUUGUAUCAGCUAUUGUAAGGCCAAUAUUGGACAACUAUAAAAUUUCGAAAAAGGUUCAUCAGAUCCCUCUUAGCGAUGUUCACAUUCUCAUAUGAAUAUAUGUCGGUGUAGCAUCUUCUAUUAUUUCUUGAGGAAAUUCUUCAAUGUGAAUGUAAAUCUUUUGAAGAUCUACACAUAUUUAGACAACACAAAGUCGAGGUGUCUUCUAUGUUGUCGAUGAGGUAGAUCUUUGGAAGUCUGUAAUUUCCACAAAUCAUCAAGGUUUCUCUCUUUUGUUUCAUUCUUCCAAUCAAUUUCUUCUCCGUGACAUCAAUUUGUCAGGUACAAGUGUAAAAGUUUUGAUGAAUUGUCCGGCACAAUAUCUUGUAUACAACUCCAAGAACUGAUGUAGUAUUGUUGAAUGAAGAAUACAAGAGAGUGCUAAGAUCAAUACUUCAUACAGGUUUUCUUGCUCAUAUGAUUCUCUGAACUUUGAACUUGGUAAGGCUUUAAACAAAUUUUAUUUGUAUAGUUUUAAGAUUAUUUUGUGGAUCUUGAUAUUUGAAUUAACUAGAUUGAAAAGUCAAAAUCAAUAUUCACAAAAUUUAUUACCAAUGAUUGUAUUUAUUAUUUUUGGCUUCAUUUUACAGGCUCAAGUCACUCCAUUGAAUAACUAUAUGUAUAGGAUAUAAUUUGUGUUAUUAGUUAAGAAUUUUUUUUGUAAUUAUUCAAUUAUAUGUGUAAUUAAAUAUUGAUAAUUAUUAUUACAUUAAAUAGAGUUCUUAA
Long non-coding RNA from Impatiens glandulifera, 1714 nucleotides. RefSeq lists it as uncharacterized. The record is from RefSeq and is a predicted model, not a curated record. NCBI's taxonomy places the organism in Eukaryota, Viridiplantae, Streptophyta, Magnoliopsida, Ericales, Balsaminaceae. The transcript has 7 exons.